GCCUGGUGCAGUAGUGCACACCUGUAAUCCCAGCAGCUUGGGAGGCUGAGGCAGGAGGAUCAUAAGUUCAAAGCCAGCCUCAGCAAUGGCAAGAUGCUAAGCAACUCAGUGAGAUCCUGUCUCUA
RNAcentral lists this small RNA (125 nucleotides) under Marmota monax (woodchuck). Lineage: Eukaryota; Metazoa; Chordata; Mammalia; Rodentia; Sciuridae. The record is from RNAcentral.